UUCGAUUCCGGAGAGGGAGCCUGAGAAACGGCUACCACAUCUAAGGAAGGAGAGGCGCGUAAAUUACCCAAUCCUGAUUCAGGGAGGUAGUGACAAGAAAUAACAACCUGGGGGACCUAGCCCUUACGGGAUUGCAAUGAGAACAAUUUAAACGACUUAUCAAGGAACAAUUGGAGGGCAAGUCUGGUGCCAGCAGCCGCGGUAAUUCCAGCUCCAAUAGCGUAUAUUAAAGUUGUUGCAGUUAAAAAGCUCGUAAUUGAACUUCUGUGUAUGCACAGUUCUGGCUUCCGUCAAGCUGUUGUGUGCACAUCCGCUUGCAAACUUAGACCGGCCUUCAUUGGUCGACUAAGGGAGUAGGCCCUUUACCUUGAAAAAAUUAUAGUGUGUCAGGCAGGCUAUUGCUCUAAUACAUUAGCAUGGAAUAAUGGAAUAGGACUUUUGUCCAUUUGGUUGGUUAUUGGACAUGAGUAAUGAUUAACAGGGACAGUUGGGGGCAUUAGUAUUUAAUUGUCAGAGGUGAAAUUCUUGGAUUUAUUAAAGACUAACUUAUGCGAAAGCAUUUGCCAAGGAUGUUUUCAUUAAUCAAGAACGAAAGUUAGGGGAUCAAAGACGAUCAGA
RNAcentral lists this ribosomal RNA (618 nucleotides) under Philasterida sp. RNAcentral's name for it is "SSU rRNA". It matches the Rfam family "Eukaryotic small subunit ribosomal RNA", at positions 376 to 1012 of the family's 1831-position model. The record is from RNAcentral. Lineage: Eukaryota; Ciliophora; Oligohymenophorea; Philasterida.